Molecule: long non-coding RNA, 150 nt
Organism: Camelus dromedarius (Arabian camel)
Lineage: Eukaryota; Metazoa; Chordata; Mammalia; Artiodactyla; Camelidae
Exons: 3
Source: RefSeq, a predicted model, not a curated record
CUAUCUGCUGCCCAUCCAGGAGCUACCACCUCUACAUGCAUGGGUGCUCUGCCAAGAAGUCUUCCUGUGACUCCAGUUUGUCAGCACAAGUGAGUGUGAACUAGACUAUGUUGAUAUUGCACCUCUGGGAUCACGCAUUCCAGCCACUCA